AAGUCGUAACAAGGUUUCCGUCGACAUAAGUCUAUAGGAAUGGAUCUGAUCCUUCUGUAGUGAAACUUAUAGAAGCCUUUGCAGCCCGGCAGCGGGUGAUCAAGCGACUCUAAAUAAUUGACAAUGCAAGUUUGCUGGUUAUUGUAACAGCGAGCAACACGAUCGAAUUGACGGGGACAUCCUAAAGCUUGUCGCACCAACUCCUCUGGGAAACUUGAUGGAGGGCCUAUGCUAAUAACAUAGGAGGGUAAAGGAUGACAAGAUGCAACAAUGGACGAUCCGCAGCGAAGACUCUAAGUACAUCAUCAGAUGUAUACGAGUAACGUUCACAGACUAAGUGGUCGUGGGUGACGACGCAACUCGGAGUGGUUGAAUCGUCGCCUAAGAUAUAGUCGGGUUUCUGGCGAAAGUCAGGAUUGAAUUCACUGAAUUGCCAACUUAAAACCGUUCCGUAGGUGAACCUGCGGAAGGAUCAUUAUCGAGUGCGUUCGUUAAUUCGGGCACCUCCCAUCCUUGUGUAUUUUAGCUGAAAAGCAGCUUCGGCGGGCCGUCAUACCCCGAAUUUUUGGGGUGUUGACAUCGGCCUUGUGCGGAUUGCGCCCGCCGAAGAACCAACUCUAUGACAACUUGAAGUCUGAUAAUUAAAACAUAAAUAAAUCAAAA
RNAcentral lists this unclassified non-coding RNA (663 nucleotides) under plant metagenome. Its description in RNAcentral is "partial contains small subunit ribosomal RNA and internal transcribed spacer 1". The stretch from base 32 to 416 matches the Rfam family "Group I catalytic intron". Rfam says of the family: Group I catalytic introns are large self-splicing ribozymes. They catalyse their own excision from mRNA, tRNA and rRNA precursors in a wide range of organisms. The record is from RNAcentral.